AGAAUCCCGUAGAAGGAGAAAAAAGAUACACUUGGGCUAGAGUUGCUAGGAAAGCCUUUGGUUUCACAAAUGAGCCGGGGUUACUCUUAUUUGUAGAUCAUUUGUAUUUAGACAAGUGUCUUAAUGUGAAAUAUUACAGUAACUUUUAUUCCUUAGAAAAUAUUCUUUCAGCAAAUGCAUCGUUGCACAUUAAUUUGUAUAUUUUUCAAUGGCCAAAAGGCUACCAUGUCUCAGUGUAGGACCUUGGCCAUUUCUUGUCUUAUGUGAUAAUUGCCUUAUCACUGCAUUUUGUAUAGACAUAACUUAAAAGAAGUGAUUUUUCACCUGGGAGUAAACAGCUUUGGCUGAAGCUGCUGUCCUCUUGGUAAAAUACCUAAUUCCUUUCUGGAUCAGUUCAAGACGUAUUUUUAACUGCCUCUCAUGAGUCAAGUAGGCAGUGUGCUGGGUAGAAGGGGUUAAACCAGGAACAAGAUACGAUUCCAGACCACAGCACCUUGCAGUCACAUUGUUGUUGACACAGGCACACAAUCAGUAAUCUCAACACAAUGUAAGGAAGUAUCACGAGAGAGUUGGGAUAUGGACCCUGCACCAGAAUCUUGAGAAUGAGGAAAACAUCAGCUGGGUGCGGAAAGGUAGGGAGGGUGCGUCAAACAGCAGAACCAGCAAGAGCCUCUAUGUGGAGGCAAAGCACAAGUCAGCAAGCUGGAGGUUUAUAUUGAAAAAACAAAAAACUACCUCUCUACCAGUCUCUCUCUUGAUUGAUCACUUGGUAUCUCCUUUUACAAAUAGUGGAAGCAUACUUAGAAUUAAGGUUAAAGUGACUUGGGCAUUAAAAUACUCGAAUUAUAUAUUCUCAUACCAUUCUAAUGGCAUUCUAAGCCAUUAAGUCUUUGGUUAUGCCCCAUUUCUAACUAACCUGGACUAGCAGCACAUCUUAAUUGAGAGAUGUCAGUACAUGGAACUAACAACCAUAUUCUCCUUGGCCCUCAGCUAUCUUUAUGUGCAAGAAUGUUUUUUGCUGAAUUAUGUAUUGCUUUAAAAUAACCAUUUAGUUUAAAUGUUCAAGCUCUGGAAAUCAUUUCUCUAGAUGUGGUAUAAAGGGAUAAAACUGGGUGGGGAAUCUGCCACUGGGCAGUGCUGUUUGUGUGUUUCCAGCAUGGCGGAUAAUGUUGUGUUGAUCCAUGUGCUACGAGGGUUGGAAACAGCAUAAACUUGGGGGCUAUUUUAUUAGGCCACAGGGCAUUUUCACAGAAUCUAGGCAUACUAACCGAAUGUAUUUCUACAUGAAUUUGCAAAAUCAUUUAUAUCAGAGCAGAAAUAAUUUAUCUUUGUUAAUAAAGCAUUCCAUUCCUAUUUUUUUCUCACAUCCAUGUUUAUAGCAAAAGAAAAGAUUAUUUAAGGCCUAGAGAUCCUGUUGUAAAUAUGUAUGAGAUAUAUAUGAGUAUUCUUUAUGGACUGGCACCAAAAGGCUAUGCUUUUUAAUUUCUAAACAGCUAGUCAUUUCAAGAUAGUCACGAAAUCAGACUCAGCCAGUAUAAUGGUUUGACCCUGUAUAGAUGCAGC
Molecule: long non-coding RNA, 1563 nt
Filed under: Equus caballus (horse)
Lineage: Eukaryota; Metazoa; Chordata; Mammalia; Perissodactyla; Equidae
Description: lncRNA (ENSECAG00000058377.1)
Source: RNAcentral